CUGGCGGCGUGCCUAACACAUGCAAGUCGAGCGAGGAGAUUCCUUCGGGAUGAUCCUAGCGGCGGACGGGUGAGUAACACGUGGGCAACCUGCCUCAUAGAGAGGAAUAGCCUUCCGAAAGGGAGAUUAAUACCUCAUAACAUUGCAGUUUCGCAUGGAACAGCAAUUAAAGGAGUAAUCCGCUAUGAGAUGGGCCCGCGGCGCAUUAGCUAGUUGGUGAGGUAACGGCUCACCAAGGCGACGAUGCGUAGCCGACCUGAGAGGGUGAUCGGCCACAUUGGGACUGAGACACGGCCCAGACUCCUACGGGAGGCAGCAGUGGGGAAUAUUGCACAAUGGGGGAAACCCUGAUGCCAGCAACGCCGCGUGAGUGAUGACGGCCUUCGGGUUGUAAAGCUCUGUCUUCAGGGACGAUAAUGACGGUACCUGAGGAGGAAGCCACGGCUAACUACGUGCCAGCCGCCGC
This 466-nucleotide ribosomal RNA is filed under the name uncultured bacterium. RNAcentral's name for it is "bacterial SSU rRNA". It matches the Rfam family "Bacterial small subunit ribosomal RNA", at positions 36 to 518 of the family's 1533-position model. The record is from RNAcentral.